Molecule: transfer RNA, 136 nt
Organism: Aspergillus clavatus NRRL 1
Lineage: Eukaryota; Fungi; Ascomycota; Eurotiomycetes; Eurotiales; Aspergillaceae
Rfam family: tRNA
About the family: Transfer RNA (tRNA) molecules are approximately 80 nucleotides in length. Their secondary structure includes four short double-helical elements and three loops (D, anti-codon, and T loops). Further hydrogen bonds mediate the characteristic L-shaped molecular structure. tRNAs have two regions of fundamental functional importance: the anti-codon, which is responsible for specific mRNA codon recognition, and the 3' end, to which the tRNAs corresponding amino acid is attached (by aminoacyl-tRNA synthetases). tRNAs cope with the degeneracy of the genetic code in two manners: having more than one tRNA (with a specific anti-codon) for a particular amino acid; and 'wobble' base-pairing, i.e. permitting non-standard base-pairing at the 3rd anti-codon position.
Source: Rfam
GGCAAGGUGGCCGAGUGGUUAAGGCGGUGAGUCAUGUCUUUGCAUCCAACGUUCUCCUUGCAAUUUACUAAUUAAGUAUCCAGUUACGUUUAGGCCGUAAUGGGAAACCGCAUGGGUUCGAAUCCCAUCCUUGUCA